UCUUCAUACCUUCAUCAUCAAUGCUGCUUAUAACUUCAAUAUUCUGAUCUCCUCCUUCUUCCUUCUUGGCCUCUUCUUUGUUCUCAUUUUUCUCAGGGUUUUCACCAGCUUCUUGUUUCUUGGGUUCUUCUUCUGUUGCUUUUUGAUCCUCUUCUUUCUUCUCUGAGUUUUCUUCUUUUUUCUCUUCUGGUUUUGCUUCUUCUGGUUUAGGUUCUUCUGCUGCUGGUUUCUCUUCUUCUUUUUUCUCUUCUUUCUUUUCUGGUUCAGGCUCUGGCUGUGGCACUAUCUUCGCUUGCUUUUUGGUGCGUCUAUAAACAUAAUCCACCAGCUUCUCU
Molecule: long non-coding RNA, 335 nt
Filed under: Manihot esculenta (cassava)
Lineage: Eukaryota; Viridiplantae; Streptophyta; Magnoliopsida; Malpighiales; Euphorbiaceae
Description: long non-coding RNA (MESC_LNC000168)
Source: RNAcentral